This is a long non-coding RNA of Cynoglossus semilaevis (tongue sole), 941 nucleotides long. RefSeq lists it as uncharacterized. Lineage: Eukaryota; Metazoa; Chordata; Actinopteri; Pleuronectiformes; Cynoglossidae. The transcript has 3 exons. The record is from RefSeq and is a predicted model, not a curated record.
UAUCAUAUAUCCGAUUUUACUUUCACCUCCAGACUACUGCACUAUUUCGUUGGAAGUAAAGGUACAAUAAGGAUGAAGUUAUUUUUGGGAACCAGAACCUGCUGUACUUAAAUGCCGUGCAGAGCGCAAAAUAUUUCACUAAACCGAGAUGAUGGCAGAACAUUUCAGAGAUUAUUAUCUCUGUGUGUUAAUGAGCAUAUCAAAGUAAAACGGACUGUACGUACGUUCUUAAAUGAAGUUAAAAGAACGUCGGGGCUUUCUUUGCUUUUGCAGAUUUUAACCAACGGUUUAAAGAGAAACUCAGAUUGACUCCACACUUCACUUCAUCAGCGUGGUUCUCCCUGCAGCAGCUGUGAGGGCUUCAAUUUGCUUGAAAGUUUUUUUCUCCCCAUUCUCCCCAAUGAUCAUGUGCCGACUGAAUGGACGCCAAAGGCCAAAGGCACUGAGAUGUGUCUGCUCUGACCCUGGCUCUCACCCUGACUCCAUUCACCAGGCGGCGUGAGCGUGUGAGAAAAGGGGGAGGACGGCGAGGGGAGACAAAGUUAGAGAGAGAUAGAGAGAGGCUGCUUUUGUGACUGCGGAGACAACAGUCUUUGUCCAGCGCCACCAUGGGGGUACAAGGGCCACCAAUGUCAAGCAAACAAAGGCCAGAGGCCUGGAAAAAUGCGGAGCCAGAGGCCGGGGCUCCCUUCGUGAAAAAUGGAGAAAGAUUGCGCCCGAAAGCAGAAGCGACAAGGCUUCCUCGGAAAGUAACCCUGUCAUCUCAUGCAUGAAAUAAAUGUCAUAAUAUCAGUGGAGCAUCAGCCGGUACAAGAGCGCUGUCACCAGAAACAAACUCGCUGACGCCAGCAUUAAACCCACGCCCGCUAGCAGCACCAGCUGAGCUGACUUUGGACUCUCUAUUUCACACAUGGGGGCAGUGAGCGGGGUGUGAAUCAAGU